GCAGAGGUGGUUUAGUGGCAGAGCCCUCGCCUUCCAUGCUAGAGAUCUGGGUUUGAUUCCCAGCCAAUGCA
This 71-nucleotide transfer RNA is filed under the name Loxodonta africana (African savanna elephant). It matches the Rfam family "tRNA". Rfam says of the family: Transfer RNA (tRNA) molecules are approximately 80 nucleotides in length. Their secondary structure includes four short double-helical elements and three loops (D, anti-codon, and T loops). Lineage: Eukaryota; Metazoa; Chordata; Mammalia; Proboscidea; Elephantidae. The record is from Rfam by way of RNAcentral.